Molecule: ribosomal RNA, 253 nt
Filed under: uncultured bacterium
Lineage: Bacteria
Description: partial 16S ribosomal RNA
Rfam family: Bacterial small subunit ribosomal RNA
Source: RNAcentral
UACAGAGGGUGCAAGCGUUGUUCGGAAUUAUUGGGCGUAAAGCGCGUGUAGGCGGCUUUGCAAGUCGGGUGUGAAAGCCCUCAGCUCAACCGAGGAAGUGCGCCCGAAACUGCAGAGCUUGAGUACCGGAGAGGAUGGCGGAAUUCCCCAAGUAGAGGUGAAAUUCGUAGAUAUGGGGAGGAACACCGGUGGCGAAGGCGGCCAUCUGGACGGAUACUGACGCUGAGACGCGAAAGCGUGGGUAGCAAACAGG